CCUACGUGGUGCUGCAGUGGGGAAUAUUGGACAAUGGGCGAAAGCCUGAUCCAGCCAUGCCGCGUGUGUGAAGAAGGCCUUCGGGUUGUAAAGCACUUUCAGUGGGGAAGAAAGCCUUGGGGCUAAUACCCUCGAGGAAGGACAUCACCCACAGAAGAAGCACCGGCUAACUCCGUGCCAGCAGCCGCAGGUAAUACGGAGGGUGCGAGCGUUAAUCGGAAUUACUGGGCGUAAAGCGCGCGUAGGCGGUGUGAUAAGCCGGUUGUGAAAGCCCCGGGCUCAACCUGGGAACGGCAUCCGGAACGGUCAGGCUAGAGUGCAGGAGAGGAAGGUAGAAUUCCCGGUGUAGCGGUGAAAUGCGUAGAGAUCGGGAGGAAUACCAGUGGCGAAGGCGGCCUUCUGGACUGACACUGACGCUGAGGUGCGAAAGCGUGGGUAGCAAACAGGAUUAGAUACCCUUGUAGUC
This 466-nucleotide ribosomal RNA is filed under the name Vreelandella stevensii. RNAcentral describes it as "partial 16S ribosomal RNA". It matches the Rfam family "Bacterial small subunit ribosomal RNA", at positions 338 to 795 of the family's 1533-position model. Lineage: Bacteria; Pseudomonadati; Pseudomonadota; Gammaproteobacteria; Oceanospirillales; Halomonadaceae. The record is from RNAcentral.